Pseudoliparis swirei is the source of this 167-nucleotide long non-coding RNA. RefSeq lists it as uncharacterized. The record is from RefSeq and is a predicted model, not a curated record. The transcript is spliced from 2 exons. NCBI's taxonomy places the organism in Eukaryota, Metazoa, Chordata, Actinopteri, Perciformes, Liparidae.
CAAAGACGGACCAGAAGGCAAUAAGUGUGUUUCAUUGUCUUCUGCAGUGUGGUCCUGUCUCCCACACAAUGGUUUGGUAUUGCUGACGGAAGUGCAAAGACGGACCAGAAGGCAAUAAGUGUGUUUCAUUGUCUUCUGCAGCAUAAAUAAAUGCUGGGAAAAUCCAC